This 301-nucleotide ribosomal RNA is filed under the name uncultured bacterium. RNAcentral describes it as "partial 16S ribosomal RNA". It matches the Rfam family "Bacterial small subunit ribosomal RNA", at positions 509 to 807 of the family's 1533-position model. The record is from RNAcentral.
CAGUAGCCGCGGGAAUACGGAGGGGGCUAGCGUUGCUCGGAAUGACUGGGCGUAAAGGGCGCGUAGGCGGAUGGCACAGUCAGAUGUGAAAUUCCUGGGCUUAACCUGGGGGCUGCAUUUGAUACGUGUUGUCUAGAGUGUGAAAGAGGGUCGUGGAAUUCCCAGUGUAGAGGCGAAAUUCGUAGAUAUUGGGAAGAACACCGGUGGCGAAGGCGGCGACCUGGUUCAUGACUGACGCUGAGGCGCGAAAGCGUGGGGAGCAAACAGGAUUAGAUACCCCCGUAGUCCCUGUCUCUUAUAC